This 458-nucleotide ribosomal RNA is filed under the name uncultured bacterium. Its description in RNAcentral is "partial 16S ribosomal RNA". It matches the Rfam family "Bacterial small subunit ribosomal RNA", at positions 338 to 795 of the family's 1533-position model. The record is from RNAcentral.
CCUACGGGAGGCAGCAGUGAGGAAUAUUGGUCAAUGGACGAGAGUCUGAACCAGCCAAGUAGCGUGAAGGAUGACUGCCCUAUGGGUUGUAAACUUCUUUUAUAUGGGAAUAAAACGUUCCACGUGUGGGAUUUUGUAUGUACCAUAUGAAUAAGGAUCGGCUAACUCCGUGCCAGCAGCCGCGGUAAUACGGAGGAUCCGAGCGUUAUCCGGAUUUAUUGGGUUUAAAGGGAGCGUAGGUGGAUUGUUAAGUCAGUUGUGAAAGUUUGCGGAUCAACCGUAAAAUUGCAGUUGAAACUGGCAGUCUUGAGUACAGUAGAGGUGGGCGGAAUUCGUGGUGUAGCGGUGAAAUGCUUAGAUAUCACGAAGAACUCCGAUUGCGAAGGCAGUUCACUGGACUGCAACUGACACUGAGGCUCGAAAGUGUGGGUAUCAAACAGGAUUAGAUCCGAGUAGUC